AAUUCUCUUUAUUAGCCUGUAAUUUCGUUUCGUUUCUUUUUUCCUUUUUUCUUUAAUUUUUUUUUUUUUUUUUUCUCGCGAAACAAAACAUCUUUCUACAUCCGCGGGAGUAGCUCCAAAAGCGAGAAAACCCGGCGAUAAUUUGUCGAGAAGAUCCUUGCGUCGACCAUUCUUCUCUCCUCGCAAUUUUAAAUGCCUCGCGACGUAUUUCUUCCCGUCGUUUCUAUCCCCACUCCUCUACGCUCUAUAAUAAAACCAGCAACCGUCGUAAUCUAAUACCGUUUCGCGUCCACGCGACGAAAAAAGAAGAAAAAUAAUAAAGAAGGAAAGCACGAAUACAAAGUACAAGGACAAACCUCGAAACGAAAACCGAACGUAUUAGAUAUAUACACAGGAGAAACGUGAACAUUUUAUUAUAAAAUAUUUCCUUGGAUUAUUCCUUUCCAACCGUACACAAAUUUAUAUAUAUUUUUCUUCUUUUUUUUUUUUUUCUCUACAUGAAGGUUCAACGAGAGAUAGGAAAGAGGGAUAAAAUCUUGAUUAAUAUCUACGACGCGGCAAAGGUCGAUAGUCGAAGAUGAGCUUCCCAUUCUCUCGUGUUCUCUCCAUUAACAAAUCCAAAGGGAUGAGAACGGUAAUACCGCUCAUUACCGCUCGCGAAGGAGGAUAAUGAGAUUAAAAUUUUAACAAGCUUGACACGCGCACGGAUGCGACGCCGUUAAAUUAAUCGCCAAGUUCAUCGAGAGGGAAUUUUUAAUAAUAUUUUCGGUGAUCACGCGUGCUGUUUGCGAAAAGGAUCGAUCCUUUAAUGAUGGAAUAAACGCACUCCUCGUUAUUAUAUCGAGCAAGGAGAGUUACAUCAAACACGGCGUACUAUAAAUUUAAAUUAAAAGCAAACGCCAGAUUUUAACACAUUGCAGCCGUAUUCAGUCUCUACGAAUCUUCGAUCGAUGCAUUUUAAAAUGUAUCUCUCACUGUUAUAGGACAAUUAAAAUCAAUUUAGAAAACAGAGUUUCCUCUUUUUUUUUGCUCGAAUGGAGAAAGCUCGAGAUGGUGAACUUUAUUAAUUUUUUACAGCUAACUCAAAAUGAUUUCAUUUUAGGUGUAAUUAUAAAAAAAUUUGUCGAAUAUUGAACUCUAUAUAUUUUAUAAAUCCUCGAUUUGUCAGGACAAGUAUUAAUUAAAAUGUCUCUCAUCUUUCUUAUUUCUUAUUUAAGAGCAAAUCUUAUAAUCCCUCUCAACUCCCGUUAACGUAACGUGCUCUCACAUUCACCGAGUAUUAUCCUUUCAUCUUCAUCGCUGUUCUUCUUUAUCGUCAAUAAUUUCUUUACGAACGAGAACUACUUACAAAACUCGAGAACGUUGAAAAUAAUAUUCCUAUUGUCAAACUCGAAGACACAGAUCCAAUUUUAGAUAAGAAAAUCUACUUAUUCGACGUUAUAUUAUUCUACGCUUCAUUUAGGAAUCAACCGUAAAUAAAUAACAUCGCCGUCGAAUCCAAACAGUGGCCAAGAGUCACAUUCGAAAUUUAUCUCUCACUGUUGUAUUAUACAAUUAAAGUCGAUUUAAGAAGAGUCUCCCCUCUCCGUAACAGUUCCAUUCCCCCCACCCUUCCCCUCCGUGGAUUUUAUUUUCGUUUCCUCGGCGCUGGAAUUGGCGCACGCGGCGCUGCUGCGGGGAAACUCGUGCGCGCGAAUCCACAGGAAUUAUCGCAGCGACGAUAAAUGGCGGCGCGCGUUGCUUUUCCUCGAGGCGAGACGAGGCUAGGCGAGGCGAGGCGUUGCGAGUGUAUCUCGAUACUCUUUUUCAUGAAACAAUAACACAUCGAAAUUAAUUACGAAAGAUCGAACGGAUUUAAGUUGAAGUUGAAAUAUUAUGUUAGUAUCGAAACGUUGUCAAAACUUUUCCAGAAUAACCUUUUCGAGGAACAACGACACAAAAUUAAUUACGAAAAAUCGAACGGUGCACUUUUAAGUGGAAGUUGACAAGGACAACGACACGAAAUUAUUUACGAAAGAUCGAACGCAGUUUUAAGCUGCGGGAGACACGGCGAUGCAACGACACGUCGAAUUGACUAAAAAGAUCGAAAGUUUUAUUUAAUCGUAGUUUUAAGAUUGAAGAAAUGUUAUAUGUUAUUAUUGAAAUCUUUUCGAAGAACAACGACACGAAAUUAAUUACGAAAGAUCGAACGGUGCAGUUUUAAGUGGAAGUUGACAAGGACAACGACACGAAAUUACUUACGAAAGAUCGAACGGCGCAGUUUUAAGCUGCGGGAGACACGGCGAUGCAACGACACGUCGAAUUGACUAAAAAGAUCGAGUUUUAUUUAAUCGUAGUUUUAAUUUAAGAUUGAAGAAAUGUUAUAUAUUAUUAUUGAAAUCUUUUCGAAAUCUUUUCGAACGACACGAAAUUAAUUACGAAAGAUCGAACGGUGCACUUUU
RNAcentral lists this long non-coding RNA (2441 nucleotides) under Apis mellifera (honey bee). RNAcentral's name for it is "uncharacterized LOC102656068". Lineage: Eukaryota; Metazoa; Arthropoda; Insecta; Hymenoptera; Apidae. The record is from RNAcentral.